GAUGAACGCUGGCGGCGUGCCUAAUACAUGCAAGUCGAGUGAACAGACGAGGAGCUUGCUCCUCUGACGUUAGCGGCGGACGGGUGAGUAACACGUGGAUAACCUACCUAUAAGACUGGGAUAACUUCGGGAAACCGGAGCUAAUACCGGAUAAUAUAUUGAACCGCAUGGUUCAAUAGUGAAAGACGGUUUUGCUGUCACUUAUAGAUGGAUCCGCGCCGCAUUAGCUAGUUGGUAAGGUAACGGCUUACCAAGGCGACGAUGCGUAGCCGACCUGAGAGGGUGAUCGGCCACACUGGAACUGAGACACGGUCCAGACUCCUACGGGAGGCAGCAGUAGGGAAUCUUCCGCAAUGGGCGAAAGCUUGACGGAGCAACGCCGCGUGAGUGAUGAAGGUCUUCGGAUCGUAAAACUCUGUUAUUAGGGAAGAACAAAUGUGUAAGUAACUAUGCACGUCUUGACGGUACCUAAUCAGAAAGCCACGGCUAACUACGUG
Molecule: ribosomal RNA, 497 nt
Filed under: uncultured bacterium
Lineage: Bacteria
Description: partial 16S ribosomal RNA
Rfam family: Bacterial small subunit ribosomal RNA
Source: RNAcentral